CCUACGGGAGGCAGCAGUGGGGAAUCUUGUGCAAUGGACGAAAGUCUGACACAGCCACGCCGCGUGCGGGAAGAAGGCCUUCGGGUUGUAAACCGCUUUCAGCAGGAACGAAAAUGACGGUACCUGCAGAAGAAGAUGCGGCCAACUACGUGCCAGCAGCCGCGGUGAUACGUAGGCAUCAAGCGUUGUCCGGAUUUAUUGGGCGUAAAGAGCUCGUAGGCGGUUCAGCAAGUCGGGUGUGAAAACUCUGGGCUUAACCCAGAGCCUGCACUCGAAACUGCUGUGACUAGAGUUCGGUAGGGGAGCAGGGAAUUCCUAGUGUAGCGGUGAAAUGCGCAGAUAUUAGGAGGAACACCAAUGGCGAAGGCACUGCUCUGGGCCGAUACUGACGCUGAGGAGCGAGAGCGUGGGUAGCAAACAGGAUUAGAUACCCUGGUAGUCCCACGACCGUAACGAGUGGCGACUAGGUGGUGGUCGUCUAACCAACGAGAUCUGCGCCGUCGCUACGCAUAGUGCCCGCCGCGGGAGGUACGGUCGGUCGAGAACGUUAAACGUACGAAAGUUAAGUAGUUAGGCGNGNGAGAGCGACGACGACGACGACGGAGGAGGAG
Molecule: ribosomal RNA, 611 nt
Filed under: uncultured bacterium
Lineage: Bacteria
Description: bacterial SSU rRNA
Rfam family: Bacterial small subunit ribosomal RNA (bases 1-521)
Source: RNAcentral